GCCCUCACUGCGGGAGAGAUUGGACUUUCUCCAGCGCCGAAGGAGCAACCGCCCCGGAAACUCUCAGGCAAAAGGACCGCAGCACAGCU
This 89-nucleotide non-coding RNA is filed under the name Devosia sp. LC5. Its description in RNAcentral is "Glycine riboswitch aptamer". It matches the Rfam family "Glycine riboswitch aptamer". Rfam says of the family: This family represents the bacterial glycine riboswitch. Glycine riboswitches usually consist of two metabolite-binding aptamers domains with similar structures in tandem. The aptamers cooperatively bind glycine to regulate the expression of downstream genes. Lineage: Bacteria; Pseudomonadati; Pseudomonadota; Alphaproteobacteria; Hyphomicrobiales; Devosiaceae. The record is from Rfam by way of RNAcentral. RNAcentral also lists the same sequence under 1 other name.